GGGCCCGCACAAGCGGCGGAGCAUGCGGAUUAAUUCGAUGCAACGCGAAGAACCUUACCAAGGCUUGACAUAUAGAGGAAAAGUGCAGAAAUGCACUCCCCGCAAGGUCUCUAUACAGGUGGUGCAUGGUUGUCGUCAGCUCGUGUCGUGAGAUGUUGGGUUAAGUCCCGCAACGAGCGCAACCCUCGUCCUAUGUUGCCAGCACGUAAUGGUGGGAACUCAUGGGAUACUGCCGGGGUCAACUCGGAGGAAGGUGGGGAUGACGUCAAAUCAUCAUGCCCCUUAUGUCUUGGGCUUCACGCAUGCUACAAUGGCCGGUACAGAGGGCUGCAAUACCGUAAGGUGGGAACGAUCCCAAAAAGCCGGUCUCAGUUCGGAUUGAGGUCUGCAACUCGACCUCAUG
Molecule: ribosomal RNA, 403 nt
Filed under: uncultured bacterium
Lineage: Bacteria
Description: bacterial SSU rRNA
Rfam family: Bacterial small subunit ribosomal RNA
Source: RNAcentral